This is a non-coding RNA of Pelobates cultripes (western spadefoot toad), 2167 nucleotides long. NCBI's taxonomy places the organism in Eukaryota, Metazoa, Chordata, Amphibia, Anura, Pelobatidae. The record is from the annotation of a GenBank genome assembly.
UAUACUUAUUGUGGAUCAGCACUGCUCAGCUCAGACAAAGUUUCCAUAUCCUGAAGCAGGCCCAGAUUGGCCAUCGGGCACACAGAGCAAAUGCCCGAUGGGCCGAGGCCGGCAGCGAGAUCACAGGAUCUCCCCUGCCGGUCUUUGCAGGGCCGGCACUAUCCAAGCGCCGGCCCUGCAGUAGUCCACAGUAUACUGCGGCCGGCAGGGAGAGAGGGAGAGAGACAGCCAGAAGAGGAACCCGGAGGAGCUCUAACUUACAGCACCCUGACACUCACAGCACCCUCACUCUCACACACACUGAAUCCCUGACACUCACAGCACCCCCCCCCACACACACACACACACACAAACUGCACCCUUGACAUUCACAGCACCCUCACACACACACACACACACACACACACACACUGCACCCCUGACACUCACAGCACCCUCACACACACACUGCACACACUCACACACACACACACUGCACCCCUGACACUCACAGCACCCUCACACACACACACACUGCACCCAUGACACACAGCACCCUCACUCACACACACACACUGCACCCCUGACACUCACAGCACCCUCACUCACACACACUGCACCCCUGACAGUCACAGCACCCCACACACACAGACACUGCACCCCUGACACAGCACCCUCACUCACACACUGACCCCUGACACAGUACCCUCACUCACACACAUACUGCACCCCUGACAUUCACAGCACACACACUACACCCCUCACACACAUACUGCACCCCUGACAUUCACAGCACACACACACACACUACACCCCUCACACACACACUGCACCCCUCUCGCACACUGCACCCUCACACACACACACUGCACAAUAUGCUUUCCUAGCAUUUUUGUCUCCCGGUAUCCCAUCUAUGGAGACACCAGAGACAAAUUUCAAGCAAACACAGAGCAUGUUAUAAAAUUUUCUUGUGCUGCGCAGAACAAAUACAGGGCCUUUUUCUCAUGUUAGAGCUCUUCAGCAGAGCUCUGCGCAUGGUCUACCCCGAAAGAGCAUUGAACCAACAUGCUCACUUUGUGAUGGCACGUGCUUGUCAUUGGUGAUGACAAAACACACCAUCUCUGCCCCGCCCCCUUCUUAGCGGGCCCCUGUAAUUAAAAAAAUGCCCGGGCCGAAUUUUCUUCCCAGUCCGGCCCUGCCCUGGAGUGCAGGUACCCUUUCCGAGGAAAGUGCACUCACAAGAUUCAGUAGAUGAAUAUCUUCAAACUUUUAUUGUGCAGUUUAGUAAACCAAGAUAGUGUCAACGUUUCAGUCCACAGUGGACUGAAGCGUUGACACUAUCUUGGUUUACUAAACUGCACAAUAAAAGUUUGAAAAUUCAUCUACUGAGUCCUGUAAGUGCAAUUUCCUCUGAUUAUAUAUUUUGGCUGAAGUAAGCACCCAGGCAAACACAAGACCGUGAGAGUGAGUGCUGGACCCAAAUGUUAAAGACACAUUUAGUGUUAAAAUGUUGAAUUUUCACAAUUGAUGGUGCAAUAAACCACCAUAACAUGAAAUUGCUGAGUCCUGAGGAUUAUUUCAUUUGGGUAUAUAAAUCUAUACAUUUGUGUGGUAUUGUUUUCUAUGAGUGCUAUUAAACUUAGAAGUCAAACAUACCAAAUUUUAAAAUCCUUCCACAUUGAAACUUCACUUCCUGUAGUUUAUUACCUGUAACUCUUAACCCCUUGAGGACCAAACUUCUGGAAUAAAAGGGAAUUAUGACAUGUCACACGUCAUGUGUCCUUAAGGGGUUAAAAAUAAACUGAAAUCCCAGACUGGUAAAAAAAACAAAAAACUGUAAAAUGUUUUUCUAUUUGCUUUUUUUGUGUAUAUUUUUUUUUUUUAUAUAAUAAAUGAGAAGUUGUAUAUGUUACAACAAAAUAAUUUUUCUUUAAAAAAACAGUAUGUAAUUUGUGUUGUUGCAAUAAAUGAGAAAGAUGGAAAUUGCGGUUGAACACAUACAUGGCAAAAAUAAAAUUGCUUUGGUUCCUAUAAAGUUAUAAAUGUGUAUAUAUAUUAUUGCUUCAAUGCUUCCCUAUGGGGAUUUCACUUACGCUGGAUGUCCUCAUGCAGAGUUAGGCGACCAAAAGUCACUUAGCCACCAGGAAGUACAUCUAGUGGCUGUCUGAUUGACAACCACUAAAGGCAG